UCUCUCAGGACGAACAAGCAUGGACUCGUACACUGCUUUGAAUUUAAAUUAUUUUGUUAUUGAUGAGUGAAUCUAACGACACUACAGCUAUCCUAUCAUAACAAAAAAAAAAGAUACAGGCAUAUUUGUUGUCUGGUAUUUUUCAUUAGUACUAUUUAAUUUAUUAUAUAUCAUUUUAUUAUACAUAUAGGGUAUGAGUACCGUUCUUUAUUCUAUGUCCCUUGUUCAUGAUAUUUACUUUAGAUACGACUAACGUCUUUGUAGAUGGAGUAUUCUAUCCCUACAGUUACAAUGGAAUUACGUGCCCUUCUUGUAGAAAGCAGAAUUUAGUACAUAAAUUUAAUUAUUCUUUUUAUUCAGGUAUUUUUUAUUUUCUUUUUGCUCGUGUUUGUAUAUGAUAUAUAUUAACAUUGAAAUUCAUUAUUUUAAGACGUGUUACUAUUUCCCUAUUCAUAUAUUAAUUGAACGUACAAAUUGAUGGCAAUGAUUUGACAAAACAAAAUUGUCAUUUAAAAAAGUAUACCUAUUUCAUUUUGCUACAGUAUAUUUAAUUAUUUAUUAUUUUACAUUCCAUAUUUCAUUAAUUAUUGAUUUUCUAUAAUUAUUUAAAUAUACCAGAGUUUAUUGAAUAUACCAAAUUAUAUAUCAUCAUAUUAUAUUAUAAUGUAUACCCCAUAACUAUAUGCUGUAGGUAGUAUGCAUCAGGACAUUAUUGGACAUACAUCCGGACAAUGAAGUGGAUUGCCCACCAGGGUAAGAAGGGAAGACACUAUUACAUCCUUGCAGAUAGAUUCUUCAACUCUCGAUUACAAAUCAUUCCGUAGAAAUCUCAACGAGUGCUGCAGAUUGUACUAUUCGCCCUGUUGGAUCUUACAUAUGGAAGAAGAUAAAUUUCAUUACGAAGGUAUAUUUACGGGCACCUUUACUUACGGGCCGGCCAUAUCCGUUCAGCGAUAGCCUGAAGGCUAAUUUCAUUAUAAUUUAAUUAUGCUAAUCUUAAUUUUAAAUAUCACCUUUUAAUGCCAUUUACUAUAUUCCACUACAUUAAUUUCCAUUAUUGAUUAUAUAACAGCUGUCGCGUUUUCAUUCUAUAAUCCUAAUAAUUCUCUACCUUACAAUCUAGGUAAUGAGUGGGCUCGUCAGCGAUUAAUACUUUUUCAAAUUAUCUACAAAUUGAUAUCUUGUUUCAGUUCGCUGCAUUAAAUUUCUUUACACUUUGUGUCGCCAUUCGAAUAUAUUGAAUAUACUAUACUGCCCAUAACCGCAUAACAGUAACAUUCGAUAAAAGUAGGCAUUGGAGAAAAUGGAACCCAAAGUUGCAACAUUGAAUAGUAUAGGAAUCAAUCGAAAAUUUAAAAAUUUCUCAUAAAUUUGUCAUCAGUCGUAUAGCAAUCAAAUCUUCUACAGCAGUUCCUGUAUGCUGGGGGAAUUGUCGAAACAUGAAUCGAACCUCAGUAUGAUUGAUGUCACGCUUUAAAGCCAAUCUAUUUUCCUAGUGUGACUGUUAUGCGGUCACAUUGCUCAAUGAGACAAAAUGGCUUGGUAUUUUUUUCAUAAAUCCUAGAACAAACUUAAUUUGUUUAUUCAGGUGGUCGAAAGCACUUGUGAUUUGAUGAUGAUCCCCGAUAUUAACUCUAUACCAGCAAAAUAUGCAAAUGUUACAAAUAUGCAGUUAUGGGCAGUAUAUGUCAGUAAUAUAUUUCAUCAUAAUAGAUUAUACCAUGAACUAUAUAUCAAACUAUAUGAGGUUGGGAGGGUGAAUCAGGGCAUCAUUAAAAUUGUAACUGUACGACGGAGUGAUUGCCAACCGGCGUGUGGUGAUUUGACGCGCCCUCCUUGUGACAAACCAUGCCGCAGAAAGCUUGACAAGUGAUGUGAAACUAUUAUUGGAUCAUACUGUUGGAAGGAGAUUCUUAUAAACCCGCGGAUUUCGCGUAAAUGCCUCUACUUACGGGUCGCCACACCCCCUUUUGGCUCUUCAUACAGUGAUUCACAUUUUGUUACUAUAAUAUUGUUGUACCCUACCAUCUAACGUAAAUGCCUUGUCACCUAAAAUAUUUAUUUACUUCAUCCACAACUGAUAUUUUAUUUCAUUUUGCUACAUUACAUUUCAUUAUUAUAUUUAUUGAUUAUACCAUAUUUCAAGAUUAUAUGUAUUUCAUUAUAAAUUUCCUAUCAAUAUUAUAUUUAAAUCAUUAUAUAACCAUAUAACUAUAAUAUUAUGGAGUUGGGAGGGUGCAUCAGGGCAUCAUUGAAGUUGAAACUGUACGACGGAGUGGAUUGCCAGCCGGAGUGUGGUGAGAAUUAACUAUAACAUCCUUGUAGAUGGGUUCUUCUAUCCCAACAGUUGCAAUGGAUUUGACGCGCCCUUCUUGUGACAAACCAUCCCGUAGAAAGCUUGACAAGUAAUGUAAAUAUCAUUAUUCACCCUGUUGGAUCAUACUGUUGGAAGGAGAUUCUUAUAAACCCGCGGAUUUCGCGUAAGUGACUCUACCCGGAUAUAAACGAACAAUUAAGGCUAUGGGAAAAACAAUUGAAAAACCACAGAUUCUUAUGUUAACAUUGCUUUCUAUUGUGUAUGUAUUGUACAGUAUUUUUAGAAUUUGAUUCUUUUUAAUGAUUACAAAAGAUUUACAUUAGAUUCCAUGGUUACAUACCUAAACAAUAGAUUAACAUUUGAAUUCUUUGUUACUGUUGGAUUCAGUGUUCAAACCAUUAGUUUACAAUAGAAUGUAUCAGUAACAUUGAAAUGUACUGUUUUUCAAUGGUCUGGACGUUUGAAAAAAAAAAGGGUUUUUGCUUGGGUUUUUGAGUAAUUCCGAAACAGUGUGUAUCGAUGACAGCCAAGUUUUGUUGUAGUCAGCUCGGUCGUCAGCGGUAAAAAAUUCCGAAUAGCAGUUUUGUGUGCGGAAAAUGUGGAAAAUUCACGCUCAGCUGCGUGAAUUUUCCGCAUUUUCCUCACGGGAGAAAAUAUAGUGUGUGGUGCAGUGCUGAAUCAUUCAACAGUUGCGGCAUUUCAACAGUGACAAGGACGUCAAGCCGGUGCGCGGUACAUAAGCAAUCAACCCAGAGCUUGUUGAAUGCCGAUCUAAGCAAGAUCUGCAUGAGGGCCAACGGACUUAUUGUAAAAAUACUAAUUUUCCCUUCCUUUAAUUUGACUGCAAUCUUGACUGCAAUAGUUUCAUCAUCAAACUUUUUUUCGUGAAAUCAAAUGUGAAACAUAUUACUGAGUAGAACCGUAGAACCAUCUUUUGCAUUUGGUAGCUUUGCAAGGUUUUUAAAUAUAGGUUCGCUCUUUAAACUUGGAACACAUGCAUGCCUUUGAAUCAAAUUCUAUAUUGUAUGCUGUAUUCCACAAGCUGUAGUUCAUCAAAUGUCCAUAAAUGCUACAAUAAUGGUUAAGCACGCUGUAAUGUUACUUUUGUACCUCAUCACCCACUAAAUGCAACUACAUUAGUGGUCUAACAACACUUAGCGCGCUUCGGCACGGUUCCAUCAUGCCGCUUAUAGUGUUGCCACAUAUAAUGCUUAGUUUGCUAAACCCAGUUAUCUGGCUGGUGGGACAUGGGAGCCCAAGCUUCAUCCAUUAAUGCAAUUAGACGUUUAUUGAACAAUAAAAUGAGCGAUUCGAAUAUUUGAAGAACUAUUCAAACAACAUAGAAGCUUAUGUAAAGUCAACUUUUAACGAACUUAAUCUAUGCAAUAUCUUGCAUUUUAACGCUUCGAAUGACGUUCAAGUAUAGGUUCAAGUUGUAGUAUAUCGAGUUUUUUUUUAGUGCUACAAUAAUGGUUAAGCACGCUGUAAUGUUACUUUUGUACCUCAUCACCCACUAAAUGCAACUACAUUAGUGGUCUAAUAACACUUAGCGCGCUUAGGCACGGUUCCAUCAUGCCGCUUAUAGUGUUGCCACAUAUAAUGCUUAGUCUGCUAAACCCGGUUAUCUGGCUGGUGGGGCAUGGGAGCCCAAGCUUCAAUCAUUAAUGCAAUAAAACAUUACUCGAUUUACGACAUGAUUGAUCCAAAUAUUAGAAAAUUGUUCGAUCUGUGUUCUUAAAAUGUAGCCCUGAAUGUAGCAUAAAAUAUACAAGCUUCUAGUCCAAAUGCAUAAAGAUAGUUCAGAUUCACUGUUUUUCAGAAUUUUCUCAAGCAAUCAGUAACAAAAGUAAAAAGCAGAAAUAGAUCAAAUCAUGCCAAAAUGUUCAUAAUCGCUUGUAAAAUAAAACUAUUCCAAAACAUUAGAAUUUUCUGUUUCACAAUAGAAAACAAUUCCCAAACCUUUGGAUAGGGCAAAACAGUAUGUUCCGUAAUGACAAUUGAAAGCAAUUCCAGAACAAUAGAAUCUAAUGUGUAAUUAAGUCAGUGCUCAAAGAACAAUAUGAAAACAUAAGAAUCUUGUGUAUCACAAUAGAAAACAAUUCCCAAACCAUUGAAUCAAAUGUGGAAUCAGUAAUAAAAUUACUACUCAAAACAAUA
Molecule: long non-coding RNA, 4474 nt
Organism: Aedes albopictus (Asian tiger mosquito)
Lineage: Eukaryota; Metazoa; Arthropoda; Insecta; Diptera; Culicidae
Exons: 2
Source: RefSeq, a predicted model, not a curated record